CAUGCAAGUCGAACGCGUCUCCGUUGAUGAUUUUAGGUGCUUGCACUUGAAAGAUUUAACAUUGAGACGAGUGGCGAACUGGUGAGUAACACGUGGGUAACCUGCCCUUGAAGUAGGGGAUAACACUUGGAAACAGGUGCUAAUACCGUAUAACAACCAAAACCACCUGGUUUUGGUUUAAAAGACGGCUUCGGCUGUCACUUUAGGAUGGACCCGCGGCGUAUUAGCUUGUUGGUAAGGUAACGGCCUACCAAGGCGAUGAUACGUAGCCGACCUGAGAGGGUAAUCGGCCACAUUGGGACUGAGACACGGCCCAAACUCCUACGGGAGGCAGCAGUAGGGAAUCUUCCACAAUGGACGAAAGUCUGAUGGAGCAACGCCGCGUGAGUGAUGAAGGGUUUCGGCUCGUAAAACUCUGUUGUUGGAGAAGAACAGGUGUCAGAGUAACUGUUGACAUCUUGACGGUAUCCAACCAGAAAGCCACGGCUAACUACGUGCCAGCAGCCGCGGUAAUACGUAGGUGGCAAGCGUUGUCCGGAUUUAUUGGGCGUAAAGCGAGCGCAGGCGGUUUUUUAGGUCUGAUGUGAAAGCCUUCGGCUUAACCGGAGAAGUGCAUCGGAAACCGGGAGACUUGAGUGCAGAAGAGGACAGUGGAACUCCAUGUGUAGCGGUGAAAUGCGUAGAUAUAUGGAAGAACACCAGUGGCGAAGGCGGCUGUCUGGUCUGUAACUGACGCUGA
This 739-nucleotide ribosomal RNA is filed under the name Lentilactobacillus buchneri. RNAcentral describes it as "bacterial SSU rRNA". It matches the Rfam family "Bacterial small subunit ribosomal RNA", at positions 54 to 749 of the family's 1533-position model. Lineage: Bacteria; Bacillati; Bacillota; Bacilli; Lactobacillales; Lactobacillaceae. The record is from RNAcentral.